AUGGGUGGCGCGGUGGCAACCGUUUUUUGUGCUCCUCGACUGCCGUCCUCUCCACCGCCCCUAAUCUCUCACGAUGGGGUAGUAGCAUCGCCGUCUUCCUCGUGCCUCGUGGCCUCCGUCUCGAUCCGGGGUUGUGCUCUCCGGGAACCCUAUCCCGUCCGAGGAGAAGGCCCUCGAGCAAGAGCGUGAGAUCCUCCCUUGCUGCGCUGCCGCCUCGCCGCUCUUCCCCCAGCCCUUGACCGUCGGUGCCCCUCUGUCUGUUCGGCCCCUCCAUCAAGGGUCAAGAAUCCUUCCAACGUCCUCCUCCUCCCGUCGCCGCCGCCCCCCCCUGGCGCUUUUAUUCAGCGGCGCCGCCUCCGAAUCCGCUGUAGAUCGCGAAGGGGGUCACGGAAAUCCUCUUGAUCGCCCACGUGAGUGCGCCGUUCGUCUCCGUCCGGAACUGGUCGGUGGCCGGCACUUGCCGCAGGCCGGCGCGUUGGCCGUCUUCCUGAAGUCGGCGUGAGGUUCGAUAAGGUCUACAGCUCUCCCGCCCUUGGAUUGGGCGAGGGCCACUGCGGCCUCUUGCCAGAAGUUUCAGGAGAAUCUCUUAGGUAGCUGGUGCUUCGGAUCACUGAAUUUCUGAACAGGACAGUCCUAUGAUUGCCUGAAAAGCUGGCAGUUGCUAAUACAUCAAUCGAUCAAAAUGAGCCGAAAGAGCUCUCACGUAACAGACGAGCUAAUUCCCUUGAGGAUCUUCUUUACACCCUUGAUCGACCAGCUCCUCCAGAGAGAAGUAACUCGAUGAAACCUCCUCCUGGGUGGCAGUGGAAACCUCAACUUUUCCAUUGGGAUGUUCAUUCAUGCAAUUCCAAUUAAACGUCUUCUCACCGGCCCAGCUAGGCUUGGCUUAAUGCAGUCCCGGUUUGAUGAUUCUUCCCUACAGCCCUACAUCAUUCACAAAGAAAAGGAUGGCAGAUAAGGACCUCAACGAUACAGCACAUUUCAGGCUUCUUUAGACCAUGACAAAGGAUGUUGUACCAGAACUAUAUUCUUGCCUAGGUUAUGCCUUGUGUUAUGAAUGGAGAAGUUCCAUGAUUUACUCGGUUCUGGAAUUAUUUGGUCGUGUGAGAUGAUUUCCCUGAUGUGAAGCACGACAAGAAUACUCGUAUGUAUGUAUGUAUGCAUUCAACUUUGUGUUCCA
Musa acuminata AAA Group (dessert banana) is the source of this 1180-nucleotide long non-coding RNA. RefSeq lists it as uncharacterized. The record is from RefSeq and is a predicted model, not a curated record. The transcript is spliced from 3 exons. Lineage: Eukaryota; Viridiplantae; Streptophyta; Magnoliopsida; Zingiberales; Musaceae.